GGAUAGCUCAACUGGUAGAGCGUUGUAUUGACAUCGCCAGGGAUAGGGGUUCAAUUCCCACUGGUUCCG
Non-coding RNA from Merluccius polli (Benguela hake), 69 nucleotides. NCBI's taxonomy places the organism in Eukaryota, Metazoa, Chordata, Actinopteri, Gadiformes, Merlucciidae. The record is from the annotation of a GenBank genome assembly.